Molecule: ribosomal RNA, 115 nt
Filed under: Esox lucius (northern pike)
Lineage: Eukaryota; Metazoa; Chordata; Actinopteri; Esociformes; Esocidae
Source: RNAcentral
GCUUACGCACACCUCCUGAGCCGCCCGAUCUCAUCUGAUCUCGGAAGCUAAGCAGGGUCGGGCCCGGUUAGUACUUGGAUGGGAGACCGCCUGGGAAUACCAGGUGCUGUAAGCC